Molecule: ribosomal RNA, 449 nt
Filed under: uncultured bacterium
Lineage: Bacteria
Description: bacterial SSU rRNA
Rfam family: Bacterial small subunit ribosomal RNA
Source: RNAcentral
GGCCAGACUCCUACGGGAGGCAGCAGUGGGGAAUAUUGCACAAUGGGGGAAACCCUGAUGCAGCGACGCCGCGUGAGUGAAGAAGUAUUUCGGUAUGUAAAGCUCUAUCAGCAGGGAAGAAAAUGACGGUACCUGAUUAAGAAGCCCCGGCUAACUACGUGCCAGCAGCCGCGGUAAUACGUAGGUGGCAAGCGUUGUCCGGAUUUACUGGGUGUAAAGGGCGUGUAGCCGGGCUGACAAGUCAGAUGUGAAAUCCGGGGGCUCAACCCCCGAACUGCAUUUGAAACUGUUGGUCUUGAGUAUCGGAGAGGCAGGCGGAAUUCCUAGUGUAGCGGUGAAAUGCGUAGAUAUUAGGAGGAACACCAGUGGCGAAGGCGACUUUCUGGACUGUACCUGACGCUGAGGCGCGAAAGCGUGGGUAGCGAACGGGAUUAGAUACCCCAGUACAU